CCUACGGGAGGCAGCAGUGGGGAAUAUUGCACAAUGGGGGAAACCCUGAUGCAGCAACGCCGCGUGAGUGAAGAAGUAUUUCGGUAUGUAAAGCUCUAUCAGCAGGGAAGAAGAUGACGGUACCUGAGUAAUACGCACCGGCUAACUACGAGCCAGCAGCAGCGGUAAUACGUAGGGGGCGAGCGUUAUACUGAUUUAAUGGGGGGAAAGGGAGCUUAGACGGUGAUGCAAGUCGGAAGUGAAAGCACUGGGCUCAACCCCGGGCAUGCUUUGGAAACUGCCUGACUGGAGUGCUGGAGAGGCAAGCGGAAUUCCUAGUGUAGCGGUGAAAUGCGUAGAUAUUAGGAAGAACACCAGUGGCGAAGGCGGCUUGCUGGACAGUAACUGACGUUGAGGCUCGAAAGCGUGGGGAGCAAACAGGAUUAGAUACCCUUGUAGUC
Molecule: ribosomal RNA, 440 nt
Filed under: uncultured bacterium
Lineage: Bacteria
Description: partial 16S ribosomal RNA
Rfam family: Bacterial small subunit ribosomal RNA
Source: RNAcentral